Ictalurus punctatus (channel catfish) is the source of this 1558-nucleotide long non-coding RNA. The record is from Ensembl. Lineage: Eukaryota; Metazoa; Chordata; Actinopteri; Siluriformes; Ictaluridae.
AACUAGCCAUGUUAGCAUCCCAGAACUAGUCAUGGUAACAUCCCAAAACUAGCUAUGGUAUCAUCCCAAAACUAGCAUGUUAGCAUCCCAGAACUAGCCAUGGUAACAUCCCAGAACUAGCCAUUGUAUCAUCCCAAAACUAGCCAUGGUAACAUCCCAGAACUAGCCAUGCUGACAUCCCAGAACUAGGCAUACUGACAGCGCCCGAGCCGGAAGGCUACUAAAUAUGAAUUACUACACUGUUUUUCCUCAUUCUCUCUCCAUAGAUCAUGUAGAAAACUACAUGUACAAUAAUAACAACUCUCUAUCUGUUACUAAAAGUAUAUUAUAUCUGCCCUAAUAACCAGUUACGUCAAAAAUCAUCACAGAACAGCAGCAAGGUCCGAACCACAGCCGCAGCUGAAACAUGGAUCUAUAGAUAGAGCUGGCUAGCUCACUAACGUCAGGUUCAUUUGCAUUAAUCAGCUGGUGAAGACUAGCAUUAUCUUCAUUUUUUUAUAUGUCGCACCAGGAUUGUUUUUGUUUCGUAAAAUAGUAGCAAGCUACAGUAACAACAAUGACUCAACUGUUGAUUCGAUGAUGUAAAUAAAGCGAGUUGCUGAACUAGCAUUAGAGAGAUAUUGGGUGUGAUGAUGUUCGCGUCCAUACGUUGGAUGUAAGUACUGCUGCAGAGGAAAAAUCACCACUUUAGUUCAUGUUAGGCUUCAACUAACUAAUUAGGCAUCUCACUUUAAUCAGCGCUUUAACAUGUGCAUCACUAGCCUGAUGGUUAAUGAACAUCAAGCCUAACGACGUAGUUGAGGAACUCUUGCAAACGCUAAAGCUAAAGCUGUUUUUCGCUUUGUCCGUUUUGCAGUUUCCCAGUGUAAAUAGCGGUAUAUUUUUAAGAUUGGCCAGCCAGCACUUCACACAUGGGGACUGUAAGAGAGAUCUGAUCUCAGAAUUACUGCGAAGCACACCAACGUUUCUAGAGUGAUUCCUUUCUGUCUAAAUUCCACACAAAACCAGCCAGAGGCGUGUUUCUCUCUCAGUCUCGAGAGAAGGUGAGUCAAACCGAGCCAAAGUAGUUGUUAUCUAAUGUUACUCGAGUUAUCUAACGUAUUUUCUUUCUUUUUUUUUUUUUUCCACUUAGAUGCCACAUGUAUAUAGGUCUACUGCACGUUAUCAUUUUUAAAGUAUUCCGUGUUUAAAAUAAAUAAAGAAAAAGUUUAGAGUGCACAUUAACAAAGCAUAAGGUUCAACAGUAAAACUACACACUAUAGCAAAAAUAUCGCUGACACAGCUAUGAACCGAUGUUCGUUUAGAUCCGGACUAAAUAACGAACAUCUACAAUAACUCAAUUCCACAUAAAUUAGCAUAAUUUACACUGCGGCAUUUUACUAAAUAUUGAUGAUGACCCAAGGCUCUGGGUUACUGGAAGGUCGGGGGUUCAAGCUGCCACUGUAAUCCUCUCUGCUCCAGGGGGCGCUGUAUCGUGGCUGAUCCCUCGCUCUGACCCCAACUUCCUAACAUGCUGGGAUACGUGAAGAAAAGAAUUUCACCGUGCACAGCCGCCCAG